UAAUACGUAGGGUGCAAGCGUUGUCCGGAUUUAUUGGGCGUAAAGAGCUCGUAGGCGGUCUGUCGCGUCGGAUGUGAAAACCCAGGGCUCAACCCUGGGCCUGCAUUCGAUACGGGCAGACUAGAGUAUGGCAGGGGAGACUGGAAUUCCUGGUGUAGCGGUGAAAUGCGCAGAUAUCAGGAGGAACACCGGUGGCGAAGGCGGGUCUCUGGGCCGUAACUGACGCUGAGGAGCGAAAGCGUGGGGAGCGAACAGG
Molecule: ribosomal RNA, 256 nt
Filed under: uncultured archaeon
Lineage: Archaea
Description: partial 16S ribosomal RNA
Rfam family: Bacterial small subunit ribosomal RNA
Source: RNAcentral